ACAGGGGUAGCCUACUGCCCCUCCAAGUGGUUGUUCGUAACUCAUGCUGCUGCUGACCCUUUGUUCGCUGCGCAUAGCAGACGUAGGUAUGCCGAACAAACCAAUACCUGCAUCAUCAAAGUUGAAAUGAUUCAAAGUGGAUAAAGUAAUGUUAACACACAACGCAAAAUCCGACGGGGAUAAUUUGAUGUUAACUUCUAUAUGUGACACAUCAGAAAGGUGAAUAUAAUCAUAUUUCGCUGCAUGGUCAAAACUUCUCCACCUUACGAAUCAUACUAAUUACUUUAAUGACGGCAUUGGCAUUAAGAACAUACUAUAAAAUCUUCCAAAUAAGCUGUUAUCUCUGACAAUUCUUCUUCCUCAUUCUUUACUCUUUCAAAAAAUUCCUGUCCUUUAUAUUGUGCCACAUGCGGACAAUGAUCAACUGAGAGAGCAUGUUCUGUCCAUGGAUCAUCUUCUGAUUGCCAAUUUCCGAUGACAGCUGGG
Molecule: long non-coding RNA, 486 nt
Organism: Mercenaria mercenaria
Lineage: Eukaryota; Metazoa; Mollusca; Bivalvia; Venerida; Veneridae
Exons: 2
Source: RefSeq, a predicted model, not a curated record